RNAcentral lists this ribosomal RNA (26 nucleotides) under Hematodinium sp. FE47,17a. RNAcentral's name for it is "partial 5.8S ribosomal RNA". Lineage: Eukaryota; Dinophyceae; Syndiniales; Syndiniaceae. The record is from RNAcentral.
UAUAAUUUUCAAUUUAGAAAAUUUUA